RNAcentral lists this ribosomal RNA (253 nucleotides) under uncultured bacterium. RNAcentral's name for it is "partial 16S ribosomal RNA". It matches the Rfam family "Bacterial small subunit ribosomal RNA", at positions 524 to 776 of the family's 1533-position model. The record is from RNAcentral.
GACGUAGGGCGCGAGCGUUGUCCGGAUUUAUUGGGCGUAAAGAGCUCGUAGGCGGUCUGUCGCGUCGGCUGUGAAAACUCGGGGCUCAACUCCGAGCUUGCAGUCGAUACGGGCAGGCUAGAGUUCGGUAGGGGAGACUGGAAUUCCUGGUGUAGCGGUGAAAUGCGCAGAUAUCAGGAGGAACACCGGUGGCGAAGGCGGGUCUCUGGGCCGAUACUGACGCUGAGGAGCGAAAGCGUGGGGAGCGAACAGG